Neopelma chrysocephalum (saffron-crested tyrant-manakin) is the source of this 281-nucleotide long non-coding RNA. RefSeq lists it as uncharacterized. NCBI's taxonomy places the organism in Eukaryota, Metazoa, Chordata, Aves, Passeriformes, Pipridae. The transcript is spliced from 3 exons. The record is from RefSeq and is a predicted model, not a curated record.
GAGGAGGUCGAGACCUUCUGGGGGAGAUGCCGGGAGCAGCGCAGCCUUACCCCCAACCCCAACAGGUUUGCAGUGCAGACCGUGAAAGCCCUGCUGCGCCAGCUGCUGGAUGAGGACGUGGUGAUGGUGAUCCAUCGCAAGUGUGGCUGGGACAUGCUCCUCAAGGCUGACACCCACCACUAUGCAGUGGGUCUGCUGGCCAGGGAGCUGUGCCGUGUCUCCCACUCCUUCUGCCGCAGCAUCACCAUCAACCUGCUCUCACGGCUCAGCAGGGAAGAGCC